AUGGAAGGAGUCCUGGUGAGUGCCGCCACGGGGGUCCUGAAAUCCCUCCUCUGCAAGCUCGCCGCACUGCUGGAGGGGGAGUACAGGAUGCACAAGGGCCUGCGGCGCGACAUCGCCUUCCUCAAGGAUGAGCUGAGCAGCAUGAAUGCUCUCCUGGAGAAGCUGGCCGAGGCGGAGGCUCUCGACACGCAGCUCAGGGAGUGGAGGGACCAAGUGAGGGAGAUGGCCUAUGAGAUCGAGGAUUACAUCGACAGGUACAUGAAUCACCACGUCCACCGUGAUCCGGACAAGCCUAACGCCGUCAUGGAGCUCUUUUGGAAGGGCGUCUGCAAGGUGAAAAGCUUUGGAGCUCACCAUGAGAUGGCGGUGCAAAUCAAAGAACUCAAGUCCCGCAUCAUCGAGGCAAGUCAGCGCCGUGACAGGUACAGGCUUGACGCGAUGGUCUGUUCUGCGAGCUCCAAUGCUGCGCGCACCGACCCUCGGUUGCCUGCCCUCUUUGUGGAGGGAGCCAGCCUUGUUGGCAUUGAUGGUCCAAAGGAUGAGUUAAUUAAGUUGGUCACGGAUGAGGAGCUCGCACUGAAGGUUGUUUCUCUCAUAGGCUUUGGAGGGUCAGGGAAGACAACUCUUGCUAAUCAAGUAUACCAAAAAACUGGUAAACUGUUCAAUUGCCAAGCUUUUGUGUCGGUGUCGCAAAAUCCUGACAUAAGAAAGAUUUUGCGGUCCAUGCUCUCUCAAAUAAGAAAGGAAGACUCUCCCAUUUCUCGAUCGAGCGAUGAGGCGUGGCUCAUCAACUCAAUGAGAAAUUUCUUGAAGGACAAGAGGUAUCUUAUAGUAAUUGAUGAUAUAUGGAGUAUCCAAGUGUGGAAGACUAUCAAGUGUGCCUUGCUUGAAAAUUCCUGUGGUAGUAGAAUAAUAGUGACAACACGAAAUGUCAGUGUUGCCAAGUCAUGUUGCUUCCCUCGCCUUGACCUUGCAUAUGAAUUAAGGCCUCUGACUGAAGCUGAUUCGAAAAUCUUGUUCUUUACAAGAGUUUUUGGCUCUGUGGAAAAAUGCCCACUUCACCUGAAUGAAAUUUCAACUGAGAUCAUAAAAAAGUGUGGUGGUUUACCAUUAGCAAUCAUCACAAUUGGUAGUUUGUUGACCACAAAAUCCGAUAGCAGAGAAGACUGGAUCAGGGUUCGAAAUUCGAUUGGUCGAGGACUUGAGAAAAACCCUCAUGUGGAGGAAAUGGAAAGGAUUUUAUCACUUAGCUAUAAUGAUCUUACUCUCCAACUGAAGACCUGCCUGCUGUAUUUAAGUAUGUAUCCGGAAGAUUAUGAGGUCCAAAUGGAAGAUUUGGUGAGGAGGUGGAUAGCAGAAAGAUUUGUUAAGGUUGUUGGUGGGAAAAAUUUAUUUGACACAGGAAAAGAUUAUUUCUAUGAACUGAUAAACAGAAACAUGAUACAACCAACAUAUAUCAACUAUGAUGGUCAAGCAAUGGCAUGCCGUGUGCAUGAUAUGAUCCGUGAUCUCAUUAUAUCCAAGGCAGUGGAAGAAAAUUUUAUCACUUCUAGUGGUCAUCAAACACAUAGCCUGGUUUCACAGCAUAAAGUUCGCCGACUCUCGAUUGACUACCGUGGCCUAGAAAAUGUGAAGACAGUGUCAUCCAUGGUCACUGCUCAUGUUCAAACCCUUGGCGUCUUUGGAUGUACUGAUCAAGUACCUCCCCUUUCGGAAUUUCCGGCCCUGAGAAUGCUUGCUCUAGACAGGAGUGAGGAGUUGGAAAUUGGUUAUCUUAAAAAUAUAACAAAGUUGUGUCUGUUGAGGUACCUGCGGAUUGAAGGAAGCUGCAUUACAGAACUCCCUGAACAGAUCGGAGAUCUACAGUGUUUGGAGAUGCUGGAUUUAAAUGGUACUGGUAUAAGGGAAUUGCCAGCAAGUAUUGUUCAGCUGCUGCAACUGAAACUGCUACUUGUUGAUGGCGCAAAACUACCACAUGGCAUUGGGAACAUGCAAGGCCUAGAGGAACUGUCAUGCGUAACUGUGGACGACAGUACCUCAAUCAAUCUCUUGCAGGAGUUGGGAAGUUUGACUAGAAUGAGAAUUCUUGGCCUGAAGUUGUGCAUGAGCGCACAUAAGACAAGCACAAGUUAUGUGGAUAGAUUGGUUUCAUCGCUUGGCAAACUUGGGAGCUCUCAGCUUGAGCGUCUGUUCGUCAAAACGGAUGGCCGUUUGAUUGACAUUCCAGUUGGUUCUUGGUCGCCGCCUCCCCGUCUCCUGCAGGAGCUAAUCACCUCUGAUUUGUGUCUCUGUCAGAUACCUGAUUGGAUGGCCUCAAUGGCCAGCCUCACCUGCCUUCAAAUCGGCGUUAAUCAAGUGACGCAGGAGACCCUUCUCGUGCUUGGUGGUUUGCCUGUCUUGUUAUCUCUGACGCUGAACUCCUCACAAAAUGCUGAACCCAAACAAAGGCUCGUGGUCAGCAACAACAUGUUCCGAUGCCUGAAGCGGUUCCUCCUCUAUUGUGAGGUGGGUCUUCUGACGUUUGAAGCCGGAGCCAUGCCAAAACUCAAAGCGCUCGAAUUUCAGAUUGUGGCGCUCGAAGCGAAAUCUGCGUGCAUCGCUCCCGACCUUGGCAUCAGCAACCUCUGUGCCCUUAGUGAUCUCUGCAUCUGGAUUGACUGCCAGGGUGAAAAGGCCGAGGAGGGGGUUCACGAGCUGGAGUCUGCAAUCAGGGUUGCGGCCAGCCUACUUCCCAACCGUCCUACACCGUAUUUCCAUAGGUUGUAUUGA
RNAcentral lists this ribosomal RNA (2769 nucleotides) under Triticum aestivum (bread wheat). RNAcentral's name for it is "partial small subunit ribosomal RNA". Lineage: Eukaryota; Viridiplantae; Streptophyta; Magnoliopsida; Poales; Poaceae. The record is from RNAcentral.